UAGUCCCAAGACGACCAUCCUUCCCUCGUCCUGUAUAUCAUCUUCCAUGCUGGGUGUUGUGUUUUCUGGUUGUUACUAUGUUUCUUCUUCUUUGUUUUUUUCCAGUUGUUGUCU
This is a long non-coding RNA of Melanotaenia boesemani (Boeseman's rainbowfish), 114 nucleotides long. RefSeq lists it as uncharacterized. The record is from RefSeq and is a predicted model, not a curated record. The transcript is spliced from 3 exons. Lineage: Eukaryota; Metazoa; Chordata; Actinopteri; Atheriniformes; Melanotaeniidae.